AAAUGUGAUAAGUAAUGUGAAUUGCAGAAUUCAGUGAAUCAUCGAAUCUUUGAACGCACCUUGCACCUUUUGGUUAUUCCAAAAGGUACGCCUGUUUGAGUGUCAUGAAAACCUCUCAUUCCAACUCUUUAUUUAUUUAUUUAUUUAUAUAAUAUAAAUAUAAAAGAUUGUGAUAUGGAUGUUGAGUGCUGCCGUGAUCUGGCUCACUUUAAAUAUAUAAGUACUUUUAUUGAAGAAAUAAAUGGAUAUUUACUCAGUGUAAUAUUUACUAUUCAUUGAGGAGUGUAGUCAUUUACUGACUUACAGCCAUUUGCCUACUCAAUAAAUAGCUUCCUAACCCUACAUUUUAAAUUAAUCUUUUAGACCUCAAAUCAGGUGGGACUACCCGCUGAACUUAAGCAUAUCAAUAAGCGGAGGAAAAGAAACUAACAAGGAUUCCCCUAGUAACGGCGAGUGAAGAGGGAAAAGCCCAAAUUUGUAAUC
RNAcentral lists this ribosomal RNA (483 nucleotides) under Coleosporium sp. AM-2013. Its description in RNAcentral is "eukaryotic LSU rRNA". The stretch from base 362 to 483 matches the Rfam family "Eukaryotic large subunit ribosomal RNA", at positions 1 to 122 of the family's 3401-position model. Lineage: Eukaryota; Fungi; Basidiomycota; Pucciniomycetes; Pucciniales; Coleosporiaceae. The record is from RNAcentral.